GGAAAAUUCUCAACGCUGCUGCAGUUUCUAAGUUGCCGGGGAGCCAAGUCACAGGUAGGCCUUCAGCAGAAGGUAUGACUUCAAGAUCUGGAUUAAAGGCAUGUGACUUCCAGUCUCAAGAUCUGGCUCACAGGUUGAAGAAAUCAUCCCCAUGAGCAUCACACACAGAGCAGAGCGCCAUCUU
Long non-coding RNA from Mastomys coucha (southern multimammate mouse), 184 nucleotides. RefSeq lists it as uncharacterized. The transcript has 3 exons. The record is from RefSeq and is a predicted model, not a curated record. NCBI's taxonomy places the organism in Eukaryota, Metazoa, Chordata, Mammalia, Rodentia, Muridae.